Non-coding RNA from Schizosaccharomyces pombe (fission yeast), 719 nucleotides. Lineage: Eukaryota; Fungi; Ascomycota; Schizosaccharomycetes; Schizosaccharomycetales; Schizosaccharomycetaceae. The record is from the annotation of a GenBank genome assembly.
AAAAUACCAAAAAUGUAGUUGAUCUUACUUUUAAAAAAAUAAAAAAAUCAACACAACAAAAUUUCAUAAUAGUUGAAACGAAGGAAAUAUAUCAAAAGUAUUGCAAUUUUUUGCCAUUUCAUUUUUUGUCUGUUUUUCGAAGUAAAGCAAAGAUAGAAAAACUUGACCAAAAAUCUACAAAUAAAAUACGCGUGUUGAGUAGACAUGACUUUACCUCUGCUGUAAAUGUGCUUAAGCGACAUUUCAAUUUGAGACGUUCACGAGAUAGUAACAAUUCUGUCUCGGAUAUAGUAGCUAGGAGCAAAAUCAUUCAUGGGAAAGAAUGCCGCUUCGCUCGCUUCACGGUAAGAUUAAACUUAAGAUGGUAGAGAAGAGCGGCCGACAAUGAAGGAUUCAAAUGAUCCUAAUAUUACCAAUUUAUCUUUCCGCAUUUUUUAUACCUGACAUUGCUUUCACUUAAAUUUUAUAUUAUUUUUAUUUUGUUCAGUAACAAAUCCCUUUUAAUCCCUCUAAGUAAUUAAUGCAAUCGAUAUUUCUUUACGCAUGCUUUCAAUAAGUUUGUCUAAAGGUGGCUUCUUUUAUGUUCUGAGAAAGUCAAAAACGUUUAUUCCGUCUAGUUACGUUUGAAAUCUUGUGGCUUAAACAUCUUGUUUUCCAGAUUUGUCGAUUGCGCUAUUUAUUUAUACUUAACUCAUAGCUUGGUUUAACUUGUCCGGAAC